This is a non-coding RNA of Podarcis muralis (Common wall lizard), 1021 nucleotides long. Lineage: Eukaryota; Metazoa; Chordata; Lepidosauria; Squamata; Lacertidae. The record is from RefSeq and is a predicted model, not a curated record.
CCCCCACCUUACUGAUUUACAGAUUAAAAAUACCAGUUCUGAAGCAGAGACAGAAUAUUGGAUGGAUUAUGUUAAAGACAGGCCUACGAAUGACUUGGGAUAUCCAAUGAAUUCUGGAAAAAUGCACAGCUUGGGCUGGAGACCUAAAGUGCCUUGGAAUGAAGGAAUAAAGAAAACCAUUGAAUGGUAUCAAGAAAACUUCCACAACUGGAAGAAUGCGGAGAAAGCUUUGGAGCCUUUUCCUGUUGCUGAAGAAUCUGUAUGAUUUAGUCCGCGGCAAAGCUGUGAAGAAAAAUAAUAAUGAAGGAAAACAUUCUACCUCAAGAUCAUCACAUUAAUGAAAAACUGUACUCAAGCAGCAAAAUGGGAUUGUAUUCAUGGAAUGUCAACUAUCAAUAAUAUCAAGAAAGACAAUGGAGUACAAUUUUACAGUAUGGGCUGUAAGGGCUAACGCCUUUUAAUCAGCAUUCCAGUGCAAUAUUGAAGCUUUAAUAUUUUUCUAUAAAAAUAAUAAUUGAAUUGGAGCAAUUUUUAUUAAAUAAUGCACUUUUUAAUACAACUGUUUUGCAUUUUAAUUAUUUAUUAAUGUAUUGUAUUGACAGGGUUAUAGUUUUUUUACAACCCAGGCAGCAGAUUUUGGUUCAGGAGUAUUUUCUGCUUUUUGUAGUUGUAUCUUCCUGUCCCAGAAGUCUAUGCUUGGCCACGUGCUUGUUUUAAAAUACUGUCAUAUCAUGUAUCCUCAACGAUCUGGUAAGGAAAUCUGUCUCUCGUUGCUCUACAGAAAUUGAGCUUUGUAGACAGCCAAAGACUUCCCUGAACUCAAGAAUACAGUAUAGAAACCUGCCCUCAUGCCAAAUAUUUAUCAUUUCUAAUAGCUUCUUUCAAUUUUUUUUUGAAGAAUAACAGUGCUUCCAAAUUUAAUUUGCCUUUCUUGUUGCAUAAAAGUAUUUUAACUCUAUGAACAUGUGAAAUUAUGUGAACAAUAUUAAAAUGUAAGACUACGUUAAAUGUAGGACACAUA